GUGCUAAGACACCCUCGGCUAAAAUCCAAAGUCAAUCUAAUAGGUUAAUAAACAGAAAAGUAAAGAUUUAUAGCUAUCGUCGUUAUAAGUAAAAGGGGGAAAGAAUUUAAGAUUCUUUAAGCUUUGGUGUAUACUCUAUUGCAUACCUCAGAAAUAUGUAAAAAUACUAAAUGUAUGUUUUGAAAUAUUUUCCAAUGUAAUAAUGUUAAACUGCAUUUGAUGUAGCUCCACAGAGCACAUUUAUUUAUUCCUUUCCCUUCUCUUUUUUCUGUAUCCCCAUUAACUUUUUUUGUAUUUACUGUAUUUAUGUGGAUUAUUAAAAAAAAAAGAA
This is a non-coding RNA of Pelobates cultripes (western spadefoot toad), 331 nucleotides long. Lineage: Eukaryota; Metazoa; Chordata; Amphibia; Anura; Pelobatidae. The record is from the annotation of a GenBank genome assembly.